UUUUAUGUUAAGAAAAUAAAAAGUAAAUUAGGAGUACUUCACUGUAAAUGAGGAGUGCCGAAAACGUAGACACGUAGUGCAACCGGUGAGGGGAAAAAAGAACAGAGCACGCAGUAUGCAUAUGGGGAAAGGAAACAAAACUUAGGGUUUCUGUAGAGGAGACGGAAUCAAAUCAAUAGAGAGGUUUCAAGGUAAGGAUUUAUGAUUGAGCGGUUGAAUAUAUAUAUGUGUGUGUUUGAACGAUGGUGGUGGAGGAUUUAUACGGUGUCGCAACUGGUGGUGGCUAUGUGUGGGUUCGAAAGAGUUGCAGGGGGUUUGGGGUUGUUGAGGUCUAAAUUAAAAGCGGCGGUAGUGGCUGGUAUGUAGGCGGGCUGCACAGCGGCGUUGUCACGUUCAGAUGAAGCCAACAGUGGCUAUGGCUGGGAAUUCAGGCAGCAAUUGUGUGCAGGGCUGGUGAAAGGAGGGAUGCAGGCAAGCUGUUUGAUUAAAUGUCUGAGAGAGAGAAGUUAGCGAAGGUGUGUUGUUGGGCAAUGUUAGCGCGGUUGUCGUAGAUGGGAUCAUGGCAGCGGCGGCAGCCGCAGGAGGACGGGAGGGAAGCAAGGGAGAUGGAGUAUGCGGAGAGAAGGCAGAUAGUUAUUCCAAAGCAUCUGUGUCAAAUGUCUUCCAGGUAGAUGCAAGCGGUCAAUAUUGUGUAGUUGCUGAGAUGACGGGUGCAGUACAUGGAUUUGUAGCAGCAAGAUAAAUGGCAUGAGAGCUUUCCUGUCAAGUGGCACAUUAUAAAAGAUGUUCCAAACCCAAACUCCCGGCACAUCAUUUUAGACAAUAUUGAGAACAAGCCUGUGACCAACAGCAGGGACACUCAAGAGCACUUAUAAAGUCUUUUCACGACUCUAAGUCUUCACCGAGCCUCCCACUAGGCCACUACUAUGUACAAAUUCACUUCUCGACCCUUUGCGACUAAUCUCACUUGAUUGAAGGUAGUGCGUGAGUCUUUGUAAUUUGAGAUUUCUAAGUUUUGUUUGGUUGAGUUUGUGUUUUGAUUUUAAUUUUGAACUUGGUGAAAUUUAUUCAGGCAUGUAACAUAUACUAGUGAUAUUUUUGUGUUGGUUGUGCAGGAUUACAGGCGUCUCGUUCACUUUGGAGCGCAGUUGAUGAGCUAGAACAAUUAUUUUUAUUGUGACAUCUCUGUUGUAUAAUGAUUUUACUUGUGUAAUUAGUGAUUUUUAUUAAACAGAAUUAGUGAUUUAUUUUUGGUUUAAUGGAAGUUGAUAUUAUGAUUUGUUUCGAUUAUAUGAGAGUAAUCUAAAUUGUGCAUUUGC
This is a long non-coding RNA of Daucus carota subsp. sativus, 1319 nucleotides long. RefSeq lists it as uncharacterized. The record is from RefSeq and is a predicted model, not a curated record. The transcript is spliced from 3 exons. NCBI's taxonomy places the organism in Eukaryota, Viridiplantae, Streptophyta, Magnoliopsida, Apiales, Apiaceae.